UACGUAGGGUGCAAGCGUUAAUCGGAAUUACUGGGCGUAAAGCGUGCGCAGGCGGUUUUGUAAGUCUGAUGUGAAAUCCCCGGGCUCAACCUGGGAAUUGCAUUGGAGACUGCAAGGCUAGAAUCUGGCAGAGGGGGGUAGAAUUCCACGUGUAGCGGUGAAAUGCGUAGAUAUCGGGAGGAACACCGAAGGCGAAGGCAGCCCCCUGGGUCAAGAUUGACGCUCAUGCACGAAAGCGUGGGGAGCAAACAGG
This 253-nucleotide ribosomal RNA is filed under the name uncultured bacterium. RNAcentral describes it as "partial 16S ribosomal RNA". It matches the Rfam family "Bacterial small subunit ribosomal RNA", at positions 524 to 776 of the family's 1533-position model. The record is from RNAcentral.